Molecule: long non-coding RNA, 1630 nt
Filed under: Penaeus monodon (black tiger shrimp)
Lineage: Eukaryota; Metazoa; Arthropoda; Malacostraca; Decapoda; Penaeidae
Description: uncharacterized LOC119595722
Source: RNAcentral
ACAUAUGUGUGUGUGUGUGUGUGUGUGUGUUUGUGUGUUUGUGUGUGUGUGUGUGUGUGUGUGUGUGUUUGUGUGUGCAAUGUCUAUAGAAAUACGAAGUCAAGAUUUGGUAAUUAGUAACGCAACAGUAUGUAUGAUUCAUAGUUUUCGCUAUUAUUACUCCAUAAGUGUGGCGUUCUCUGAGGAGUCGUAUUAAAUCAGUUGAGCGAGAAAAUAGUCGUUUUCUUAUUUCAACUCGAGCAACUACUAGCUGAAUGGUUCCAAGGAGGGUGAAAAACAAGUAUAAAAACUUACUCCCUAUACAUGUGCUAUAUGAUAUCUGAGAUACUGAAAGAAAAAUCUUGCCCAUUCUGACAAAAUGGGAAUUUAAUCCUGUUCUCUACGCAUGUUUGGCACGUUUGCAAUUCUUUUUUUUUUUGUAUUCGUCAGCGCAUGUCAAAGCUUCGAUGCAUUAUCCUAAUGCGUUUAAGAUAGAAAUGCUCAUUUCUAAACGCUUGUUUAGAAAUGGAACUUGAGCAGCUUGAAGAAAGAGGAACCAUCUAGAAAAUAAAGAAUCGUAUAUUUGAUACUCUUUAUGAUAAUUAAUCUACAUAAAUUCUUAGCUAUUCAUUUUGUGGCUAAUUUUAAUAUAUGGUAAAUAAAAAAGAAAAUGUGUCCGAUGGUAUAUGACGUCAUAAUGGCAUAUGAGAAAUCGAGGUGAAAACGAAGCUGACACCUUUCUACAAUGUGGACGCUAGGCAGUCUGAAAUUGCAAUAGAGGCCGCAUCAUUGGGAUAAGGGAAAAUAAUUUCUGUCCUAGUGAAACAUCCAGAGAGCCGGGUAUCCCCCGCUCGAUGAUGUACAGGUGAAUAGUGUGGGGCGAGGAAGACCACCCCGAACGACCGCUCUCGUUCCGGAUGCCCCUUCACCAAUUCAAUCUACAGACGCUAACAAGCUGCACGGUGAAGAAAACGACUACAUGCAAAUGAGAUUCAUCACAGAUCGUUAUCAAAGAGAGGUUUAAAAAAAAAAGCAAUGCCUCCCAGCAGUAUGUGGAGAGUACACGGCAAGCUCCAUUGCUUGAUGAGAGAUAACAGAAGUGACAGACCAAAUAUCUAUGAAAUGGCGGAAGUGGCCAUUUGACCUGUAAUAUAUGGGGGUGGAUUUAUAUGCAUGAUGUUGGUGAACUCGCCGGAGAUUCAAUUUAAGUAAAUGUUUUGAAUUGUUAGAAGAAAUGUAACUCCCAUCUGUACGCUGCUGUGACUUGACCCUGCCCAUUUUCGUGCAGGAUAACUACCCAAUACACACGUCAAGGGCAGUUACAAGUGGUUUCGUGACCAAAACCACAUGGAAGUCCUUCCGCGGCCAAGCAAGGCAUGUGGCUCAAACCCGAUGAAAAAUAUUUGGGUGAAUAUUGUCAAUAUUUGGAAAACGGCUGAUGAUGCUAAAAGGGAAUGGAAAGUGUUACGGAGGAAACCGAGACCUCACAUAAGCACAUCACCUCUGUCCCGUGGAUUAGACAAGGUUCUGAAUAACUAUAGAUUGUUCUUGUUAUAAGUAUGGACGUUCCCAGCACAAAUAAACCGAUAGUAAGAAUACCUUCGAAAUGAAUAAGCAUCCUACCAAUUAGUCGAUUCACUGAAGUCCCCGA